Molecule: long non-coding RNA, 1124 nt
Filed under: Theobroma cacao (cacao)
Lineage: Eukaryota; Viridiplantae; Streptophyta; Magnoliopsida; Malvales; Malvaceae
Description: long non-coding RNA (TCAC_LNC002865)
Source: RNAcentral
CGUUGUGUUAGAGGACUGAGAAUAGAAGUAUUUCAAACUCCUGAUACUGUGAGUAACCUUAUCAUCAUCUUGAUUAUCUGAAGUGAAUUUUAAUUCGUUUUUUGAUUUUAUGGAAAAUGAGUUUAAAUGGCAAAUCUUUAUGUUUUAUAAGCAAAAAUGUGAUAAAUGAAAUGAUUUUAUAAAAUUGUCUUGAAAUUGAAAAAUGGUUUUGAAAAUGGAGUAAUUGGAGACUAAUUGCUGUGUUAUAAAUCAUGGUUUGAAUUGAAUGGCUUAUAAUAAUAUUGGCAUGAAUGGUUGAAUUGGUAAAUGUGCUAAAAAUGUAUGAACUGUUGAUUUGCCUUGAGAGGCUGUAAAAUAAAAUAAUUACCAUGUCAUGCUGUUGCAAAUUUUAUUGUAUGGUGGUUUAGCUUGCUGCAGUGGGCGGGUUUUAUGGACCAGCCUAUUAGAGGGGCACAGAAUCUUGUUAUGUUCUUACCUCGGUUGGAGAGGCACGUAGGGUAACUCCCGAGGUACAACCUUUGGAGUUCACUUCACGCCAAACCACCACGUGAGGGUGAACUCAGCCAACGCCAAGGAACGACUAUGUUUUCAAAAUAAAAAUAUGAUUUAUGAGUACAUGACUUUUUAACAGCUUUGGCAGACUCGGUUGGGAUAGCCCCGGGCCAAGGUAUCCUUGAUAAUUGAGUACGAGAAUGAUUUUGGCACGAGCCAAAGUUUUAAGAAAUUCAUAAGCCAUGUUGAUUACUCGAUUUUUAUAAAUUGAUUUUAUUUGGUUGAAAUGAGUUGAAAGGUGAUGAAUUACAGUAUGAUGAUCUAUUUUAAUCAUCUCCAUUUACUCAACUUUAGAUAUUUUAGAUGAUAUUUGUUUACUCACUGGGAUUAUAUAAUCUCAACACUCUCCUUUCCACCCCUUUCAGGCUUAGGAUAGUCGGUAGAUAGCUCAUUUCGUUGAGGGCUACAGUUGGACUUGCAUCCUAAAAAACUGUAGGUUUACCGCUUUUGAUACUUUUGGUCCUUCGUGGGCCCACGUGUCACUGUAAAUUAAAUCUUAUGCUUUGGUUAUCUGUAUUACAAUAUGUAUGAAUUUAUUUAGCUUUUACGCUACAAAAAUUAUUUACCGGUAA